ACUCAUAGAAAUAGAACAACCAUUAUUCUCUGACUUAAACGAGUAACCGUCUCGCAAUAAACAAGAUCCAGAUAUAAUGUUCAUGCUUACCGCAGGCACUAACUAACAUUUAUUUAGGUUCAUAACUAAUCCUGAUGGUAACUAAAGUGAAACUGUGCCGACGACGAUUGCAUCAACCUGGGAACCAUUUCCCACGCGCAUCGUCACUUCAUCCUUUCCCAGCCUUCGCUUAUUCCGCAAUUCCUGGUUCGAGUUGCAAAUAUGAGCAAUAGAACCGGUAUCGAAUACCCAGGCACUACUACGAGAGCUGGUUAAGUACACAUCAAUAACAUGUAUAUUGAAUAUACCUGAUUUUUCCU
This 359-nucleotide long non-coding RNA is filed under the name Hordeum vulgare. RNAcentral describes it as "long non-coding RNA (HVUL_LNC019774)". The record is from RNAcentral. Lineage: Eukaryota; Viridiplantae; Streptophyta; Magnoliopsida; Poales; Poaceae.